RNAcentral lists this unclassified non-coding RNA (805 nucleotides) under Leishmania donovani. RNAcentral describes it as "gene:LdHU3.22.1550(CDS-product:hypothetical_prote in_conserved)". Lineage: Eukaryota; Euglenozoa; Kinetoplastea; Trypanosomatida; Trypanosomatidae. The record is from RNAcentral.
UCUUCGUUGUAGCUAUCCGACAAGGAACUUUUGGCCCAUCAUGCUGCGCCAGACCGCCGCGCAGCUCAACACGUAUCUCACGCGGUCCGUCGCGACACCGCCCAUCUCGGUCAUCCGCACGGGGCCGAAGUGGUGGGCCGAGCCGGAGCGAAUGGUGAAGCACAAGGUGAUGUACUUUACCAUGGGCAUCGAUCAGCUGCCGCUGCGCCGCACCGCUGUCAUCCAGAACGACCUGAAGCGCUUCCACAUGUGCAAGCCGCCGCCGCGUGUCGGCGACGCCACCGGGUACAAACGCUCGCGCGGCGCGCAGCUCACGACGUGGUACCGGCGCAUCCAGUAUCAGGAGUACCACCUGCAGCACCUCUUUGUGCGCCACAUGUGGGGCCUGCUGCGCAUGUACCCAGGCAACACAACCAAGAUUCAGGGCAAGGCCGACGAUGGCUACGUCGGCUAUGACUCCGUGCACUUCCAUCGGUACAACCGCUCGCCCCUGCCCUUCCCGGCACGCGAAAUCUACGAGCGUCGCAAGUGAAUGCCUAGCGUUCGUGCUCUCUGAUGCCUCUUUACAGCUUCCUCUUUUCUUUCGUGGUGUGUCUCCCGCUCAGCCUUGUCGCCCGCCGCCGGUGCGGCGGCUUCAGUGCGCGUGUAUCGGGGCGUGUGGGUGUGUGGGUGUGGGUGUGGGUGUGUGGGUGUGUAUCGGUGUCUCAAGGAUGAAGUUCGACGAACAAAACCAUUAACAGCACUACCGCAACGGAAGUCAAGCCUGCCGCCGCCGUGGAGGACGGCGGCAGUAUUCGCAGUCGGC